UCAACAUCCGGAAAUGUUUGUCGCUUGUGAAUGUCACGAUGAUAGUUGAUGAUGUAAUCAACCAUGUUGGUAGCAGCAUGUCGAAAGGUUUCAGGUUCAAUUCCCAGCCUGGGUUCUUCAUCACUAUUAUUCCCAUCCAUGCUUGCUUUGACAACGAGCAUUUGCUUAGAGACUACGGACAAAAGCGCUGACGUUCACACUACGGACAAAAGCGCUGACGAUGAGCGAUUAUCGACUAACGUGUGUGGUUGCGAACCGUGUUGCAAAAUAUUAUCUUCAAACCGUUGAAUCCAACACAGCACGGUCCACUAGAGAUAUCUCUAGUAGGCCGUAAACACAGCUUUAUCUCAAUCAAAAAGCUGAUGUUGCAAAUUAUUCAUUUCCCUCUUUGGUGCGAACUCUGUUAUAAAAGUCAUUUGAUUUUAGUUUUAAACUUUAGUAUGCGAAAACAAACCUUCAUUUGCGUCUUUUACUUAUAUGUAAGUCGCGUAGUGUAAAUAACACCAUACUUGCAUGGUCAAAAAGUGUUCCGUCUUCCCCACCCUACUAUGCUAAACUAGGUUUCAUCGUCACAGGAUCCAAUAGCUCCAGUAACACAAUGCGUUAAUCUGUGCAGGGGUAAGUUGGGACACCAGGGGAACUGGAACACUUUUUUAAAAGCUUUUUUUACGGGCACCAUUUGAUGACGGACGAAAACAAAUGUUACAAUAUUAUUCGACAGUAUUCUGACUGCCCAACAGCCAACAAAGUGCGCACCAAAGGUGGUUAGGCUACCUAUAGUAUAUGGCGCUCAUUUCGCUUAUUGAAUAAUCCAGAAUCGAAGUUUAAUAAAAAAAGGUUGAAAUUUU
Molecule: long non-coding RNA, 848 nt
Organism: Ciona intestinalis (vase tunicate)
Lineage: Eukaryota; Metazoa; Chordata; Ascidiacea; Phlebobranchia; Cionidae
Source: RefSeq, a predicted model, not a curated record